AACAAAUGCGGGUCGGCUAGCCAUGCGAGCGGAGGGCGCGGUCGAAGAUCGUGGCCCCGCACACGGCUCAGUAACACGUAGUCAACCUACCCUUGGGACGGGGACAACCUCGGGAAACUGAGGCUAAUACCCGGUAGGCGAGGGACGCUGGGAUGCCUCCUCGCUCAAAGCUCAGGCGCCCAAGGAUGGGACUGCGGCCUAUCAGGCUGUUGGUGGUGUUACGGACCACCAAACCUACGACGGGUACGGGCGAUGGGAGUCGGAGCCCGGAGAUGGGGACUGAGACAAGGCCCCAGGCCCUACGGGGCGCAGCAGGCGCGAAAACUCCGCAAUGCGCGCAAGCGUGACGGGGGGACCCCAAGUGCCGUUGGUCUUUUGAUCGACAGUUUUUAGGAAGUUUAGGGAGCUUCCAGAAUAAGGGCUGGGUAAGACUGGUGCCAGCCGCCGCGGUAACACCAGCAGCCCGAGUGGUGGCCACGAUUAUUGGGCCUAAAGCGCUCGUAGCCGGAUCAGCAAGUCCCUUGUGAAAUCGGGCCGCCCAACGGUUCGGCGUGCAAGGGAUACUGUUGAUCUUGAGGCCGGGAGAGGUCGGAGGUACUCCUGGGGUAGCGGUGAAAUGCUCUAAUCCUAGGGGGACCACCAGUGGCGAAGGCGUCCGACCAGAACGGACCUGACGGUGAGGGGCAAAGGCUAGGGGAGCGAACGGGAUUAGAUACCCCGGUAGUCCUAGCUAUAAAGCAUGCGGG
Molecule: ribosomal RNA, 746 nt
Filed under: uncultured archaeon
Lineage: Archaea
Description: bacterial SSU rRNA
Rfam family: Archaeal small subunit ribosomal RNA
Source: RNAcentral